GACUCGGUGGCGAAGGGUAUCGCGUCCGCUUCACCUGAUAUAGUUGAUCGAUCGUCGCAGAAGGCGCCUGUUCGACUCAGGCCCGAGUUA
Non-coding RNA from Mycena epipterygia, 90 nucleotides. NCBI's taxonomy places the organism in Eukaryota, Fungi, Basidiomycota, Agaricomycetes, Agaricales, Mycenaceae. The record is from the annotation of a GenBank genome assembly.